GCCGGUGUGGCUCAGUGGGUAGAGCGCCGGCCUGUGGACGGAAGGGUCCCGGGUUCCAUUCCGGGCAAAGGCA
This 73-nucleotide transfer RNA is filed under the name Myotis davidii. It matches the Rfam family "tRNA". From Rfam's summary of the family: Transfer RNA (tRNA) molecules are approximately 80 nucleotides in length. Their secondary structure includes four short double-helical elements and three loops (D, anti-codon, and T loops). The record is from Rfam by way of RNAcentral. Lineage: Eukaryota; Metazoa; Chordata; Mammalia; Chiroptera; Vespertilionidae.